AAAAUCCUUACAUGCAAAUGCCAUCAAAAGGACUUUUCCAAGGCUUGUAAUGAGGCUGGGUUAGCAAGAAAAAUGGGUUUUUCUGGAAUGCAAAAUCCUUGAGUUAAGAGAGCUUUCAUAAUAUUUACAUUUAAACACAACUCUCCUCCUCACCAACUUCACUUUUCCCAACUUCUUCCCUUUUCUUUUGCAUUGAGCUCUCUUUCAUGCUUUUUCUUCUUUUCUUUUCUUUUUCUCAUGCAUUUUUCUUUCUCAACAAUCAAGCUCAAUGCUUUUCUAUUUUUCCCAAACAACCCCAAACUUGAACCUUUCCAUUGCAUACAAUUAAGCUCAUCCCAACUCAAGGUAAAGAAUUUCAAGACAAGGGUUUACAUCCUGUUUAAGCCUAAGGUUCAAAAAGGGUAU
This 405-nucleotide long non-coding RNA is filed under the name Vigna radiata. Its description in RNAcentral is "long non-coding RNA (VRAD_LNC013264)". Lineage: Eukaryota; Viridiplantae; Streptophyta; Magnoliopsida; Fabales; Fabaceae. The record is from RNAcentral.